GGAAAAGCAGGACCUAUCUGCAUACAGAAUCCACGGGAACGUUAUUGUUCAAGUAAUGAACAUAGAUGGCAUCAGCACUUACUCAAAGGAAUAGAUUUCUGUAAAACUCUAUGCCCGUUAAAACCUAGACUUCAGCUGGGUGCUUGUAGACCUGGGAGUAUCUGAACAAACUCCAGGGCUUACAGUUGACCGUGCUGAUCCUCUGCUUCCGCCAUGGAAGAUGUUACCACUGAUUGAGGAAGCUUUUAAAGGGAGGGAAGGAAGAUCUCUUUGUAUUAGUUUUUCCGGCUGUAUGGAGAUCAAUACUCAGCUCACAAUAGUUAAGGAAACACUGGCUAGUGAAAGGUCUUAGACAUGAAAAAUUUUUCUUCCCAAAUCUCCUACACAUCCCAGCUUUCUGUUUUGUCCCUUGUCAUGAAAACCAGAUUGCAUAAUAGAUGUGUUCAGGAUCCAAAGAAAGUGGCUUACAAGACACAGUCAGGUCUCACUUGGGUGUUUACUCUUAGAAGGACUGUCGGGUAAUCCUACAUGCUUCUGAGCUUUUAGUAUGGCAGAAGGCUCCCAAGAACCUGUGACCUCCAAACAUCCUACAAGAUGGAACGGAACACUGACACACGAACGGGUUGUGCCAUGUUGACUUCAAGACACUGUGCCCUCCCUGGAAUACUCUGUACGGCAUCAGACAGCUCCAAGAGAAGGUCAAGUGCAGGGAGUUGGGGGAACAAACGGGCCACAUGGAGCUUGGGCCUAAACUCAUAGAUCUUCAUAAAUCUCCAAACCAAGUCUGAAAGAGUC
RNAcentral lists this long non-coding RNA (795 nucleotides) under Rattus norvegicus (Norway rat). Its description in RNAcentral is "long non-coding RNA NONRATT028659". The record is from RNAcentral. Lineage: Eukaryota; Metazoa; Chordata; Mammalia; Rodentia; Muridae.